GCGCCAAGCCAGCUGAGUGGGUCUUUUUAUUUUUUUCGCGCGAAAGUUUAUGUGGUGAACUGUGUUGGUAAAGAUGAAGAUGUCAGUCAAUGAAAUUUGCUAUAUUUCUUGUGUCUAACCAACCCUGUACGGAUCGAACUGACGAUUCCCGAGUGCGACAAAUGUCCUGAAGUCUGCUCCUAUUAGCUAGGUAUCUAGAAAUUUCAACUUGAGUGUCAAGUGAAGACUUUGCCAGUUGCAGACGAGGGAAUUCUCGCUUCACGAUUUUCCUGGUGUGUGGAGAUACGUCGGAAUGCCGACCCACCACACCCGACAUGAUGCUUCGGCCGGAAUGCAGAAAGGAUCAUAUGUAGUGCCUUCUCAGCAUUACAUUACAUCCAUUGCGUAGCAGCAAUGUGCCAUCCUUCCGCGACUUAGGUGGAAUGACGUGCAAGUGGUGCUCCAGGGUCAACUUCAAUUUGCUGAGCACGUAUACCGCUGGCUUGGGGUCAGCAGCUGGGUGCAAAGUCUCUGUAUACAAAUCGUGCCCUGUCGUCAACAAUAUGGCAUCCUUGCCCAGCAAUUCCCGUCCUGUAGCGGCAAUGACUAUAAUAUUGGGGAAAUCACUCUCGGCACCUUCCGUGCUGUACUGAGAGAUGAUGCUUCGCAAUUGGUGGUCUGUGCUUGGUGCAUUGUCGGCAGGGAGCAUGUCAAUUUGCUUUUGGUAGCAGCGUCUACAAAAUCGA
Molecule: long non-coding RNA, 725 nt
Organism: Sycon ciliatum
Lineage: Eukaryota; Metazoa; Porifera; Calcarea; Leucosolenida; Sycettidae
Exons: 2
Source: RefSeq, a predicted model, not a curated record